This 504-nucleotide ribosomal RNA is filed under the name uncultured bacterium. RNAcentral describes it as "partial 16S ribosomal RNA". It matches the Rfam family "Bacterial small subunit ribosomal RNA", at positions 30 to 523 of the family's 1533-position model. The record is from RNAcentral.
AUUGAACGCUGGCGGCAGGCCUAACACAUGCAAGUCGAACGGUAGCACAGAGAGCUUGCUCUUGGGUGACGAGUGGCGGACGGGUGAGUAAUGUCUGGGAAACUGCCCGAUGGAGGGGGAUAACUACUGGAAACGGUAGCUAAUACCGCAUAACGUCGCAAGACCAAAGUGGGGGACCUUCGGGCAUCACACCAUCGGAUGUGCCCAGAUGGGAUUAGCUAGUAGGUGGGGUAAUGGCUCACCUAGGCGACGAUCCCUAGCUGGUCUGAGAGGAUGACCAGCCACACUGGAACUGAGACACGGUCCAGACUCCUACGGGAGGCAGCAGUGGGGAAUAUUGCACAAUGGGCGCAAGCCUGAUGCAGCCAUGCCGCGUGUAUGAAGAAGGCCUUCGGGUUGUAAAGUACUUUCAGCGAGGAGGAAGGCAUUAAGGUUAAUAACCUUAGUGAUUGACGUUACUCGCAGAAGAAGCACCGGCUAACUCCGUGCCAGCCGCCGCGGUAA